Long non-coding RNA from Saccostrea cuccullata (small rock oyster), 2593 nucleotides. RefSeq lists it as uncharacterized. The record is from RefSeq and is a predicted model, not a curated record. The transcript is spliced from 7 exons. Lineage: Eukaryota; Metazoa; Mollusca; Bivalvia; Ostreida; Ostreidae.
UCCUGGGGUAGUGUAGAUUUCAAAUUGUCUAAAUUUUGAUCAGUGGGGUAGGGUGGGGUCACAAUAUGUGUUACAAGGGGGAAAUCUGGUAAAGAACAGAAUGGUCAAAGCUUCUCAGGUGAGCGAUGUGGCCCAUGGGCCUCUUGUUUGUAAAAUUUCACAUUUUCAUCUUUGGUCAAAUUCAACGAAACUUGGCAAAGAGUAUCCUUGGAUAAAUGCCAUUAUGGGAUUUAAGUUUAUUCAAAUGAAGGCCCACUCCCUCUUCAAAUGGAAGAUUACUACAAAUAAGAGAAAAAUUAAGGACAUCUUUUAAAAAUCUUCUUUUCAAGAACCACUGAGACAGGAAAGAGACACUUAUGUGGCAUCAUCCUCAGGUAGUGUAGAUUCAAAAUUAGUCAAAUCAAGACCCCAUGUUGGUGUCAGAAUAGGGGAUCAAAAAUAUAUAUAAUACUGUAGAUUCCUUAUUUUUCGCGAGUAAUUAUCGCGAAUAGGCUUUUCACCGUCAAAUCACAAGAAUAAUAAUUCGCAAAUGCAUGGUUGGUUAAGAGAUUUUACAUAGAUUUCAGCGCCAUAAAAAUAAAGGCGAGUAAUUUAAUUUUGUGUGUGGUGCUUCUCACGAAAUUACGCGAAAAUUAAUUCCACGCACAUAUUUAGGAAUCUACAGUAUGUAGGGAUAUACUUUUUUUUUCUCAAGCCACAAUUAGUUAUAUUGAUAGCAAAUCAUCCUUUUUGGUAGUGAAGAUUUCAUUUUGUUCAAAUCAUGUCUACCGGGAAAAGGUUUGGGCCACAUUGGACAAUCAAAGUUUUACAUUGGAUUAUAUUGGAAAUAUUUUUAGAAAUCUUCUCAGAAACAAAUAUGUCAUGACUGGUGAUAUGUAUACGGUAGCAUCUUCAUGUAGUGUAGAUUUAAGUUUGUUCAAAUCAUGACUCCCAGGUGUAGGGCAGGGCCCCAAUGGUGGAUCAAAAUGGACAGGGGAAUACUGUAAAUCACUUUUUAUUCGCGAGAACUUUAUUUUCACAUUAUUACGCGAGACGGUAUGGUCGCGAAAAUUUCAUUCUCGCGUAUAAUAUAAUUCCUUAAGAUUAUAUAGAGCAAUGACCACAAUUUUGAAAAUUUUGUCUCGCUAAUGAAGAGUCAUUGACUAUCUCGCGAAAAUAAGGUGUCGCGAAAAUUAAGUGAUUUACAGUAUAUAGGAAACGUCUUCUCAAUAAUACCAAAGCCAUAUAUAGUCAUAUUGAUAUGGAAGCAUCCUUAGGUAGUGUAGAUUCAAAUUUGUCCAAAUCUUGAUUCCAGGGGGCAGGGAGGGGCAUCAAUGGGGAUAAAAUUUUAACAAAGGAAUAUAUAGGAAAAAAUUUUAUGUUCAAGAACAGCUAAGCCAUUGUUAUUGAUAUGAAAAUGUCUCCAGGUAGUUAUUCAAGCCCCCUUCUCCUCUUCCUAAAUUUUAUACUUUUCAAUACUGGACUAAUUUGUCAUUUACUAGCCAAUAUGCUUAGGUGAGCAUAUUGCCCAUUGGCCACUAGUUUAUUUUAGAAAUCUUCUCACUUGGUAUGAAGUGCAAGUGAUCCCCUUUUGGUGUCUGUUAAUUUUUAUCUUUUUAAGAGGAAUACUUUUAAGGCUGAACAGGAUCCUGAAGUGAGGAGGACUCCCUCUCUCAUUGAACUGCAUACAGCAGCAGAAAGCAGGAUUUCAGUUCCCCUUUGAUUCAGAAGAGGAACAACAAUGGAGGACCAAGGUCAUUAAUAUAAGAAGAGUCUAUUCCUGUCUGUGUUUUGCAGCAGAAGAAAGUUAAGACUGACCAGGAAUUCUAAGUGAGGAAGAGUCCCUUUCCCAUUCCGCUGCAGCCAUGAGGAGAAUACUCUAUUUUCAAGGAAUUUGACAAGGGAAGAGGACCAGUGCUGACCAAGUGAAGAAAAAGAAGAGUCUAUUGCCAAGCUUUGUACAGCAGCCAAUAUCUGAUUAAGGAGUGGAAGAUGAGACUGAUCUCAAUCAGUUAACAAGAAUGUGGAAAGUAAGGACUUACUACUGUCUAACCUAAACAUUGAUGGCAGGCGGUUAUGCUGGCAUUGAUCCUGUUUCCAAAAGCAGAUCAACAUGAUUCCUCAAGACUCCAAAGAGAUCAACUAUGGGACCUGAAAAUAAAGGCAGACUGCCAUCAAUUUCAUGUUUCUUUGAUAGCAGACAAAUAUGCUUCAACAAUAGUGCAGAGAGUAAUUUAAGGUUUGGACUGCAAGUGAUGGACACACUAAAUAACUCAACUCAAAGAAUUCAAUGGAUAGUGCUGAGUACAUUAUUAUAUAUCUACAAAGUGAUGGGCACACUAAAUAGCUUAACUGACAGAAUUCAAUGGACCGUGCUGAGAACAUUGUUAUAUAUCUACAAAGUGAUGGACACACUAAAUAGCUUAACUGACAGAAUUCAAUGGACCGUGCUGAGUACAUUGUUAUCUACAAAGUGAUGGACACACUAAAUAGCUUAACUCACAGAAUCCAAUGGACAGAGUUGAGUAUGUACUAAUAUCUACAAAGUGAUGGACACAGUAAACAGCUUAAUUCUCAGGAUUCAGUGUACCAUGCUGAGUACAUAACUCAUUAA